ACCCUGGUUUGAACAGGCAAGUGAUAAAAGGCCCUUUAGAGACUCUUUGCGGAAUUCCAAUAGACUGAAUUUCAAAUGACUUUCAGAAAUUAUUGUGAAUUUUCUUAGGUGUGAUAUGGUAUUGCAGUGAGAUAGGAGGAUAUCCCUUGAUUUUGAUAUGAUGGUGGUGUGUGGGGGUGACACGCAAUGAUGUCCAUAAUUUAUUCUGAAGUUGUUCAGCAAAGUAAAUAAGUAAGUAAAUAAAAUCUGAGCUUUUUUUUUAAGGUUAGGGAUGGCUCAAGGGAGGAGAAUGAGAUGCCCCAAGGGAUGUGGCUCACCUUCCUGGCCUUGGCUGAGCCCCAAAUACGUGACAAACCCCAGGGCAUGCACUUGCUGUGUGUUCAUGAAGGGAAUGUGCACCAGCACCGGCACAGAGGUGCUUAAUCGAAGCUGAAUGAAUGAAUGGGUAGUCUUUGUGGGGUUUGCCUCCUAGGAUGGGCUCUAGCUGAGCACCCCCUGCCACUCCACAUGUUUACAUCCCACCCAGCCUUCAAGCCACCACGAGACUGUCACCGGAGUGCCUGGGAGGGCCCUUGGAGGUCUCCCUGGGUGAUUCCAGGCACCGCUGCCAUCUCCCCUCCCUGACCCUCCUCCGCGUCUCCUGGCAGCCCCAACACGGGGCUCAGUCACUGUUCGGGUCAAGAGUGGCUUGCUCAUAAUCACCCGAUCACGAGCGGCUGGCCUGCUGGUCGCUAAGUAUUUCAUUGACUCGGGUGCUGCACCUUCAACAGCCUUGUACCCAAAAAGGCUCCCUAGUCAGGCGAGACAUAUUGUAGGGACCCAGCGAGAACUCGGUGUCCUAAAUAAUAAUAAUGAUAAUGAUUAUCAUAAAAAUACCUAAGCUUACCGAGCAUUUAGUAUUUCCAAAUGUCACACUAAGUGUUUAACACAAGUUCUCUCUUUAAUUCUCCUAAGAAGCCUGUUUUGGUGUCUUUUUCGUUAACUCCUAUCCCGUCUUACAGCCUGGUUCAUAGUCUCACACUUAUGAGGUGGCAGUGCCGGGAUUCAAACUCUGGUUGCCUCUUUCCUGUUUCUCCCCUAGGAGCGAUGUUCAAGCCACGUCGUCUGUGGCCCUCGAGGGCUCAGGCUUCCUCUGUGGUGGGUUGGUGAUGCUUGGGGGCAGCUACGAGGAAAGCCAAGCGCCACUAGGGCCCACGAGCUGCAACUCCAAGUACGUUCUUUGUUCCCCACCAAGCUCCAUGUUGAAAUGAUUAUUUAAAAUAAUGGCUCUUCCCCUUCUUUUGCAAUCCUUCAGAAGCACACCACAAGGUAACUGAAAGUUGGGCACACUGACAAGUGUCGCCUUUUAUGAAAGUGCCUGGAAGGACCCGGAAGGACCCUUUCCUCAGAGGUCAGCUCCAUGGAGGUACCACGGUGGCAGAUGCUCCACUUAAGCUGGGAAAAUCGUCAUGUCUUCAAGCACCUUUGGCUCUCCUGUCAUUCAUUCGGGAAAGGGAUUCCUGGUGUGUCCCCACCAGCAUCCGAGUUAGGACGGAUGGCCGUUUCUCGUCUUUGCUCCUCUCUUGGGGCCAGUUGCCCAUCCAUCUCCUGGUGGGUGGAAGCUGAUAUUGGAUAAAUACCAGUUGUCACUGCUGGGCUCUGCCCAGAUUUUCUACCCCUGAAGGCAUCCUGUCAACAGGUGUCUGGUGACACAGGGCCCAUGAGGUCCUGCCUGCUUCACAGAUGUUAGGUUCCAGCCGCAAAACCAAAGAAACUUGGGGUGGGAAAGAAGAGUCUAGAUUUCUCUAAAUGUGAAGCUUUCCAGGGCUGCUGACUAAGGAGUUUUCUUUCCAAACAUCUGAAACAGCAAACAGAUUGUAAAUGAAGAGGGAGUUACGAGAUAGCUAAGGGAAGCAACACCUCCCUGUCUUCUGGGUUGUAGCUGUUCCCGCACCGGCAGGACCUUGGCAGCCAAGAAAGGUGAUUAAACAGGGUGCCGGUGGGGGGGGGUCAGAAUGGAAUUGGGGUGCCUGGCAAAUAUUAGGAUACUGGGGAGAGUUCAGCCCUCUUCUCUGAGCCAAGGGAGAGCAGCUGAUUCUGACAAGAGGUGGAACGCUGGUCUGUGUCAUUCUUUUGAGCUAAUGACUUAAUGAUUCCCACCCAGAUCAAAGUUCAGGAUCCCAAAGCAGCUCAGCAAAAAUAAAGUGAAAUAAAUUGUAACCCCUCUCGAAGGGAUGCUUCCCACGGCCACAGCAUGAAGCGAGGGGCUGGCCGGUCCUUGGGCCACGCUUCUCUCCUCCUGCUGAGUAAAAGUAAAUUUCAGUAAAGUGUCUCCAGUCAAGGCUGGAGUUUAUAUUGAAAGGAGAGCCCCUCGUGUAGCUUGCUCUGGCAAUAACCCUGCUGCAUUUGGGGUCCUGGGGCCACGAUGAGGAGCCUGGGCCCAGAACCUCAAAGUUAGGAGCAAGUCACCCUGCCACGCCCCCACCACCUCCAGCCUCAACAUGGAAGUCCCGCUCUGGAUAACAGACAAGAGGAAAGCAGGUGCAGUGAAUGGGAUGUUGAAAGCUGACAGAUGGCUGGACAGCUUUCAACAUGGAGCUCACCCUCAGGUACCCUUGUUGUAUCACUCGAGUUUAAUGACCAUCAGUGUGACAUCCUCUGUCACAAGUAUCAAGAUUUGUCUGAGGACCCAACAGUGUGGUCAUCUGAGUCCCUCUGAGCCACCCUCAGCCUUGCUCAGGGACCCAGAGGCAUCUUUACUGAUUUCCCCUAACCAUCCAGUCAGGACACCCUCUGCGGAAUGAUCAGGACAAUUCUAGGUUUGGGAGUCUCCUGGAGAGCUGCGUACUUUUCAGCCAGGGCCUGCCUGGUGGUGUGGGCUACAGAGCUGUGCCCCAGGAGUGGCCAAGGUUGCCCACUCUCCAGCCCCUACUUGCCACUUGCACGAGGCAGGGAUUCAGGCCAAACCAAACCAACUAAAACAAACAGCUGUUGGCAAAAUGGAAACCCCAUGGGGUUGGGGUUCCGAGGCUGCUUCAGAGCUUGGAAAACCGAGUCAGUGAUUGAUAGAAUAGGAUAUUUUUGGGAUAAAUUCAGAUGGGGCUUGAGGUGGCGUUCAUGGUAUUUGUAGGCAAAAACAAAGCACAAAUUCUAGGAGGAUCCCUGUCUAUUUCUCUGAGGGGCUCAUGCAUAAACUGGUUUAGGAAGCAAAUAGGGUGAAAGUCUGCCUGCAUGCCAGGCACUGUGCCAGGGACCAGGGGGACAAACCUGAGCCAGACACGGGCCCUGCCCUCAAGGAGUUCACAGCCUGAGGGAGACAGAUGAGCAAAUCGGUCUCACAAAGCAAGGCGACACUCUCACCAAGUCGAGAGGUUUAUAGUCUGCGGUUAAGCAUUCAGCCUGUGGGAUCAGACAGACCUGGGUUCUAGACUCUUCUGCUUUCUGGCUGAGUGGCCUUGGGGAAGUUACAUGAUGUUCCAAGUCUCGGUUUCCUCGCCAGUAAACUGGGAAUAAGUACAGUUCAGGGACCUCUUAGGCUUGCCAGGAGGAUUCAGAGAGAGGAUGUGUGCAAAGCGACGUGUCUGGCACUCAGCAGCGCUCUGAAUAAAUGUUAACCAGGUUUAUCGUGAGUGUUAUGUUAUCAGAGGGGUUGGCAAGCACUCUGGGAGGCUGGAGAGCUGGCUGUCUUGGGGGAUAGGGGUCCAGAAAGGCUCCCGGGGAAGCGAUGCUGGCCGGAAGGUGAGAAAGAGCCUCUCUGGGAGGGGGGCUUUCGGUUACUGGCGAGGAGCUGGCCGUGCAGGCAGGAGCCACGGGCACAGAGGGGAUGGUGGCCCCAGGUGCUAUGCGACACGCCGAGAAGUUCAGACCUUGCCGGGAAGGCAAAGGGUAUCGUAAAGGAUUUUUAACAGGAAAAGAGCACUCUGUCGUCAGAGCGGAAGAUUCGAUGGGCAGGGAGGAAAGGCGCGGAAGGCCAGCGUGGAGGCCGUUGCCGUAGUCACGUGAGCGACUGGUGGGCCUGAAGGAGGGAAUGGAUAUUUAGGAGGGGUAAUUGCUAGGACUCUAGAACCAACAGGACCAGGGACGAGGAAGGGGAGCAGGCCAAGAGCGAGUUUGGAGUUUGGGCAGUUAAUGGAGAAAGGGCCACCAAGGCCAGCGGUGGGAUGGACGUGUGGGUGGAGGGCUGGGGACGCAGGUGCGCACAAGGAUCUGCGAUGCACAGACUUGGUGUGGGGAGUCUGUGGGACGUCUGGGUGGGGAGGGCGGGGGGCACUCAGAAUCGUGGAGCGGUGAGGAUGCGAUCUCGAUCGAGAACAUUCAUUACCUGCUUUGAUGGAGGAUGUUGUGUAGGAAAUACUAUGAAGACCAGAGCAGCGCCUUUUCUGAGUCAGACACAGCCCUGAUGACACAAGACCCCCUCAUUCUCACUCCUUGACCCUGUGACCUUUUGUAACCCUAGUCACUGACCCUCAGGAGAGAGACAGUCACACGGAGAGGAGCAUAGGCUCGGGUCAAAGCUGAGGCCAGCAGGUGAAAGCCAAAGGAGCUAAAGUCACAAUUCAUAGCAUAACUCAGGGCGUAGACAAGGUGACCAUCAUUUUAGUCCCCGAAUGCUCCUUUCCCAUGGAAGAAGGGAGCAGUUUUUGAAAGAAGCGAAUUUAAAAUAAAAUGUUAUGUGAAGUGAUUGGAAGUGCUAUCCUCAGAGAUAGUCCAGGCUGAAAAGAGGAGCUAAAAUGAUGGCUAAUGAAAGGUCAGCUAUAUUAAGGGUGACUUGAGGAUUCUGGAGGGCAGGCUGGCUUUUGACUUACUGUCGGGAAGACAACCACUUCUCCUGCCUUUGAUCUGCAUUGUCAGUGACGGAGCACUGACCUGGAUGACCGAUGAAAAUACAAAGUUAUUCACUGAGUGCUUACGACAUGCCCACAAUUACGUGGAUUAUCUGCAUCUACUCUCCAGACCUGAGCAGUCGUCAUGUUAUCUUCCACCUGUUUUGUCACUCUUACGCUUCUUUUGAAGCACUAGGUCACAGAAAUUUUCAAGCUGGUUGAGGUGCUGGAGAUCACCUGCAGAAAUGCUCAGGAGGCCCAUGAAAGGCCACAGGUGUCAUGUGGCCACAUUUGGCGAGGCUUCACCUGUUCUUAGGAUCUGUGGGCAAAAUGGAGAGAUGUGGGUGUCACUAUGUUGAGAAGCCACAUGCAGAGUCUUCUGGCUCACUGGGAGGGCAGGUGCCGAGAUUUCUGCUGGUCAACACUUGUGUUGAUGAUUUGGAUCACGAAGGGUAUUUAUCAAUCUGUGGGUGACAAAGCUGAGGAAGGAGGCAGAGGCUAUACGCUAGAUGGUAGAAUUAAGAUUUGAUGGGGAGGCAUGGGUGAAGGGGGUUGAAAGGUAAAAAAAACCAGAAGAAAAGAUUUGAUGAGAUGGAUAGGCUGAAAUAGUCGUCUAAAGCUAGUAAAGUGGUAAAAGGAUAAAUGUAGAACUGUUUUUAGAUUUAAAAAUGCACUGAUCACAAGUAGAUAAGUGGAUGACAGAGAAAAUCUGAGUUGAUGGCAGUUACGGAGAAAAGGCUGUUCACACAGUAAAUUAAAGACAUAACGUUUUUGCCAUAUACAGUAAUGCGAUUUUAGGCCACUUUUAAAAGAAGUGUGUGAAAUAAAAUAAAUGUGAGCCCCAUACCAGUGAUGAAACAACAUCUGAUGCAGUCUGGGGAGCACACUUUAGGAGGAACUUUGGCAAACUGAAACAAUAUCCAGAGGAGAAUGCUGUUUAUGGGAAAGGCCUGGAAACCAUGUCAUCAUGGGAGACCUGGUGGAAGGUGGGGAUGGGGAACAUGGUAGUGAUCUUCAGGUAUUUACAGAAAAGGGAUUAGGUUUCUCAUGCAGCUUGAGAGGAGAUAUCUUGAGCCAACAGGAGGUGAUGGGGAAGCAGGUUUCUACUCAAGAGAAGUCCUAACAAUCAAUAGUGGUCAUCAAAGCAUGUGUGGUUUGUGAGGGGGCUGCCUUGCAAACUUCUGAGCCCAAACAAACAUUUGCAUUGAGCCCUGCAAAUGUUCAGGCAAAGGCUGGACUGGCUACCCAUUCAGAGGGGAGAUGCAGGAGAGUAUAAAUGAAAAGGCCAAGAGUCAGGAAAACUGGAUUCAGGUUCUGGUCUGGUUAUAAGAUGCGUAAUGUUGUGCUAAUCAAUUUCCUUUUCCGGGCUUCACUUUCUUCAGCUCUGAGAAUUUAAUCAUCAUUGGCUUUGAACUUUUGGUAGCAAUGGAACCAUUCUAUCAAAUGAAAUCUUCUGCCAUUCCCCCCUCUGCCAAUAUAUAAGCCCAGCGCGUUAGUACUGGACAUCCCCCUCACUGCAGGCGAGCCCUCCCCCCGCAAACCCUGCACCAGGGCUCCUGGGAGUGGUUUGCAAAGCACUGGACCAGCUGAUCUUCCUGCCCUAAAAUCCCAUGAUUCCCUAAGGUUUCGUCCUACCUUAGUUUUCUAUUCUAUAGAUGCCAACCCCUCAUUUUAUGCGUGAAGUACCUGACACUUAGAAAGGGGAUUUAGCCAAGAUCUUACAGCUGACUAGUGGUAGAGCUAUAUCUAGAGCACACAGCUCCUAGCCUAUCUGGGGCCCCUUCCAUCUCGCCAGGCUGUUCCCUACAUGAUUGUCUUAGCAUUAACCCUGUGCUGCCCUCCACAGAUUCUUUCCUCCUUGGGAAAGCACCAGGAAGGCAACAGGUCCAGUCCGAGGCAUUGCUGCAGCGUGAGACAAUGAGCUUGGACUUCGCUUCUCUACGUAUUACUUUAGCUCAAUGAAAUCCUAGUCCUCCUGGUUGACUUUGAGAAAGACAAAUGGGCAGCUGCCGUCUGAAGCAGAUGAUGACCGAGCCAAGCUUGGAGCCAGCAGGCUUUCCCUUAGCUGAGACCCCAGGGAGAUGCUCAAGGCUCUUCCUGCACCAGCCACCGCGAUCGCUUUCUAGUGCAACUUGAGCCCUGGUCUGGUGCACAGCUGAGCACUUCUGGUCCUCAAGGUGAGUCCUGACUUAACCCUGUGACAAUCCAAUAUUAAUGUGCCUGCUGUGAUUAAAACAUCAACAGCCAAUAUGACAAAUGAAAGGGAAAUCUAAAAGUGGAUGUAAGAUGAAGUAUCCAUUCUCUGUGUCAUUAAAGCAGGGUCACUUUCAUGAGGAAGGCCCACUUGCUUGUUUUUAAAUAAUGCAGUAACUUCUUAUUUUAAGUGAUCCUUUCUCCUGUGACUGCUUCUUGAAUCUACUGGGACUCCACAGACCUUCAUAGGUUUUGCUGACUCUGCAUUCUGGCUAUCAUUUAUUGACUGUCUCCUCAUGUGACAAGCGUUUGACAUUUAUUAUUAAAUAUAUCACCACCACAGGUAGGCAAUAUCAUUCCCAUUUUUAAAGAUAAUGCAAUGAAGGCUCAGAGAAGUUGAUUAACUUUCUCAUAAUAACACAGCUAAUAAAUGGGCUCUGAACUUAGGGUGGUGAAGGCUGUCAUUAUGAUUUAGUCGUAACAUACUGUAGAAGCAGCCUUUUAAGCUUCAGUUACUGGAACGUGUAAAGUUCUGCUGAGGAAUACUUUUAUCCUUCCACUCAGAAGGUCCACUGGGCACUGAAAACUUGUGACUAUUCUGAAGGAAAGCCUUCUCUGAAAAACACAAAAAGAAAGUGGGGGAAAUGGUGGGAGAUGGACUGGAUAAGCAUCGUCACCCCAGGCCAUACUUAAAUUACACUCAGACAACUGUUUCAAUGGCCUGUGUAUAACUUGGUAACCCAGAAUCUCUGUCAAUGAUGGAGAUGCAAAAGGGCUCCACAGGAACAUUCCCACAGCAGAGGAGGGGACCACUGCCCGGCUGGCUGCCUACUUCUAAUGAAAUACGCCAUGUGACUUUUUGCUGAAGCAAUUUGUAAUAACAAAAUUUUAAAGUUACUUUCAGAAAUUUUCUGCUCACCUUAAUUUCAUACAUAUAUUUUUUCAUAAAGAAAAAAUUCUUUAUAAAUCCCUAUUUAACCCUUGCCAAUUCUGAUGAAGAUAUGUCAUAAUGAAUCACGGGAAUUUCUUUUAUGAUCUCAUGUUCUACAUAAAAACAGCUCAGCUACUAAAAGUACUGAUCUAAUUCUUAGGGGCCAGGAUCUAAUUCCUUCUGGUUUCAAACAAAGCAGAAGCCCUACCAAGUGAUUUCCUGUGGAUUGAAAUAUUCCAUUAAAACGGAAUAAAACUUCACCUCCACACUCAUUACACUGUCCCUCAGAUACUAAAGUACAAAGACGCCAGGCAAAAUUUCUUUUAAAUUAUUUUAUUUUUGUGUAAGCUAAAAGGAAAUUUACACACUGAAAUCUCAAAAGACCUUGGGCAUGCACGGUAACCUUGUUAGAGGCUCUUCUACAUGUCUCUCUUUUUUCCAUAGGAAUUUCCCCAAACAUUUAAAACCCAUAGUUUUUACUGUAUAUACAGCCUAAACCAUAGCAAUCUAUGAUUAUGUCAUUUUACACUGUGCAAAAUCCUCAAAAAAUAGUGGUAGGAUAGAACAAAGAAAUCAGUAACGAGUAAAUUUCAUCGUAAGACAUUCAUAUAUUUUGGUCCUUCUCCAAACCAAACUGAUUUUAAACAGACGCAAUCUCUUUAAACCCCUCCAAUCAAAUUCUGACAAUGAUCCAUACCCCAUAACAAAAGA
This is a long non-coding RNA of Equus caballus (horse), 8637 nucleotides long. RefSeq lists it as uncharacterized. The record is from RefSeq and is a predicted model, not a curated record. NCBI's taxonomy places the organism in Eukaryota, Metazoa, Chordata, Mammalia, Perissodactyla, Equidae.